GGUGAGGACGGAGCGGCUGGGUGAGGAGGUGGAGCAGCCGGGCCGGGCGGAGAAGCUUGCGGGCUCCGCGCACCUCACCUCCGCCAAUCAGCACCGCGAAUCGACGGUGACGUCGCUCUCCCCGCCCCCUGGGGGGCCGCCUUUCUCCAGGAAGCCACGCCCAACUGCUGGCCGGCCGCCUCCCUCUCGGCGGCUUCCGUGCGGUCCUAAAGGCUGGUGCUCGGCAGGAGGAGGACGCGGGCUGGGGCCGUGGGGCGGCGUGAGGGUAGCCCGGGAGCGGUGAGGAGCGUGCGAGGCCCACGUGAGCGGAGGGACGCGGCCGCUCUCACCUUUCCUGAGGGCCCUGGCCCGGCUUUGGACUCCUGAUUCUCCUCUGCUUGCCAGCUGCCGCCCCGCCUCCGCCAGUGGUGCCCGGGCUGCCUGCGCGGCCGGAGUGAACGCGUCCCGGGAGCAGGGGUUUCUCCGAAGUGAGUGCGCCAGCCCCGGGACGAGCUCGUUCGAGUCCUCACCGCCCAGUGCACUUCCUGAAAGCCGGCGGUGGGCUGUCUCCCACCUUGUGAAACUUUGCCAGGUGUCGCUCACAGGGGACUGGGUCCGGACGCGGGUGGCGGCGCUGGUUUGCGGCCCCGGUUUGCGGCCCCGGCGCCGCGAUCCCGGGCCGCGCCCACGCCCAGGCUGGAGGCACCGUGCGCAGGUGGGGACGCGCGGCCGGGAGGUGCGCAGCGGGACCCGGCCGGCCGAGGCAACAUAGUCCAAAUUUUUAAAACUCAGCUGGAUCUUUUGAGGGUUAAUUAAAAGGUACAAACCAGCUUGGCCACAGUGGGGCAGAGCACCAAGUAGACUCUUGGGGUUACUGAAUCCAGGUAUACGCUCUUGGACAGCACUUCUGGACCUGCUCUGGGACAGAGGGGAACACACUAUCCUGAAAGCUCUUCUGGAAGCAACUGAUCAGCUCCCCCUUUUUCUGCUAUGCCCUUAUUCCUCAUCGCUCAUAGACUGAAUCAUCGAAAUAAAAUGUUUUGAAAUAGAGCUGUUUGGAGAAAAGAAUAUCCAUUGCUAUCUCUUGAUAUCACUUUCCAAAACUCAGAAAAUGAAUAGUUUUGAAUGCCAAGGCAUGCUUCGAUAUGAAAUCUGUGGAUCUAGGUGACAGAAGACAUUUUUCAGAACUGACUAUAAUCAAGUCUUUCAUUUUGCAUUGAGUGGGCACACAGCAGACACCCGAUAAAUUGUUGAUGGAAUGAAAAGGAGGUGAGGGCUCUCUGUGCCCUCCAGAUCAGCAGGCAUUCAAUGUGGGAGGCAGGAAGGACCAUGGGAUGAGGCCCAGCAGCCCCUGCAGAGAGCCCUCUCUCCACCCGCCCCAGCCCCACGGAGAUCCUGGAGGAGGCAUGAGCAAGAGCAGGCCCAGCGUUGGUGGGUUGAUGGUUCUAGGGCGUUCCAACCAAUUUUCACACCCUGUCAACAAAAGUGGAAGAAGGGACUGUUGAAAACCACCAAGGAGCUGCUGGGUUCCUGUACCUCACGUCAGCCAAUUACAUUCUUUACUGGAAGCUCUCUUGGGCUCUGAUGCUGUAAGAACAGACUCUUGGAACCAACAUUUAUCCUUGAAUCAAAAACUCGUUGGAAACAUUACUGUGCUCUGCCAUUUGAAUCCGUAAUACGCCACCAAGGCCAGAGACUUUUUUUUCUUUAGUAUCUGUAACAACUCUUUGUUGAUGAUGUUAGUUUUGGUGUUUUGGUUUUGCCUGGAGCAGAUCCCAAUUUCUCCUUCGUAAACUUGAUGACUGGCACAGCACAGCAGGAGCCUUCUAAAUAGCUCAAGUGGCAUCAAUCUCAGCAGCCAGUGGCCACAUGCCACCUCGUCACCUUGGCUGGGGUCCUGUAGACAGCACGGUGGCUGGUGGCAUCUGUUUUGGCUGCUUCUCUGGGCUGUGCCUGAGCAGUGAAGAGACCAGUGUGGGUUUACCAGUGACCAGGAAGUCCUUGUUGAAAGAAAGAUGGGAACAAGUCUUAAAGAGAUAAUUAGCAUAUUCCCGGGGAAAUGACCCUUGACUGUUAGACACAGGCACUUGCAGUGAGCAGCUGCAAUGUUACUGUUCAGGCCACCCUGGUAAGGGAUCCCACAGGAUCAGGGGCCCAGCCAGUCUGGGUAGCCCCAGUGGCUUUGUCUCUGUGUCUUCUUUUGCCCUACUUUGUUGCAAAUUUAGCUAAAAUAUGUUUAUCCCUUGGGUCAUUGUGCAGUUUCAACUCCCUUUGCAAAAUAUUUCCCCAGGAGAAACUGGAGAGUAAUUUUUAAGUAUGAGUAAUGAAUUAGACUCCAGCCACAUUUUCUGGGGAACAGGCAGGUGAUUUUUUCUCUUUUCACACUGCAAAGAGAUCCUAGAACGCUGACAUCUGCAGGAUGCCAGCCUCACCUGCAUUCCUGACUGUUGGUUUGCUUCUUUAAUGUAGAAGCUUAGGGGGAAAAAGAAGGCUUAUUUAAAUGAUCUGAUGUUUCCUUUACCAAAGAUUUAAAAGAUGCACAGAGUUCAGAAAACUGUGGGAAACGAACCUUCCACUGCCAAGUUUCAGGAUGAAGAGAACACUCUGAGUGGUUUUCAAUUGUCUGCUACAAUAAAUGAUUAAUUUUCCCAUUAUAUUACAUUAGAGGGAUUAAAAAUGAUUCUGCCUUCCUUUUAUACCCAGUUUUAUGAGUCACUUGUAUGAUGGCGUGUCAGUAGUAAUAAAGAUGGACCAGACAGUUUAAAUAAACUGUGCUCCAGCAGAAGGCUCCUGGGUGAUGUGAGAUUCCCUUAACUCUUUCUCUUGAUUGAGGGUUUGGAUGGAAUCAGAGGCCAGGGUGGCAGGGCUGCAGGCAGCUGGGAGCCAGUUCCAAAGGCUGGCUCAAACUGGGUGGGGUUUGAUGAACUGCCCCUCACCAGCGUCUCCUGCAGGCUCACUGUGUUAGUUUCCCACAGCUACUGUAACAGGGAACGACACACUGGGUGACUUAGAGCAACAGAAAUGAAUUAUCAUGCAGCUUGGGAGGCCAUAGUCUGAGAUGAAGAUGUUGGCAGGGCCCUGCUGUCUCUGAAGGCAGCAGGGAAAGAUUGGUUGGAGGCUCUCGGCUAGAUUCUGGAGUUCCUGGGCUUGUGGCAGCAAAAUUCCAGUCUUCACAUGGCAUUCUCCCUGUGUGUGUAUGUCUCCAAAUUUCCCUUUUUGAUAACGACAUCAAUCAUAUUGGAUUAGGGGCCCAUAAUACUCCAGUAUAACCUCGUCUUAACUAAUCGUAUCUGCAACAACACUGUCUCCAAAUAAGUCCACAUUCUAAGGUACUGGAGAUUAGGAUGUCAACACAGGAAUGAUGGGGAGACGAACUUCAACCCAGACUGCGCACCCUGGUGAGUGUUGAAGCUUCACCCUCCAUUCAGAAGCUGCAGGUAAGUGACCAUGAGACUGCUUCUCCUCCCUGCUGCUCACCCCGGAGGAGGAGAAAAGCCAGCCUGUAGGGAGGCCCAGGCUUAGGUGAGGGACCCAUACUUAGUUUGCAUUUUCCUUACAGUUCUGCUCUGUUUCUGUUCCUCCUUCCUCAGAUUACAGAUGCUCCAAUUCACUAUCUAAAUCAUUAUUAUUAUUAUUAUUAUUUUUUGAGAUGGACUCUCACUCUGUCUCCCAGGCUGGAGUGCAGUGGCACAAUCUCGGCUCAAUGCAACCUCCAUCUCCCAGGUUCAAGCAAUUCUCCUGCCUCAGGCUCUUGAGUAGCUGGGAUUACAGGCAUGUGAAAAUGUGCAACCACACCUGGCUGAUUUUUGUAUUUUUAGUAGAGACGAGGUUUCGCCCUGUUGGCCAAGCUGGUCUUGAACUCCUGACGUCAAGUGAUCCGCC
This 3861-nucleotide long non-coding RNA is filed under the name Homo sapiens (human). RNAcentral describes it as "HSALNT0252215". The record is from RNAcentral. Lineage: Eukaryota; Metazoa; Chordata; Mammalia; Primates; Hominidae.